This 642-nucleotide long non-coding RNA is filed under the name Equus caballus (horse). RNAcentral's name for it is "lncRNA (ENSECAG00000056782.1)". Lineage: Eukaryota; Metazoa; Chordata; Mammalia; Perissodactyla; Equidae. The record is from RNAcentral.
UUUCAUCUUCCUUCUUAACUCCCCGGAUUUUGUCUCUGAGCUGAUGCUUCAGGUCACCAUUAAUGCCUCUUGCCUGUGACCAUGUACAGUUGAGCAUAGCUGUCUUCUUUGUUGAGAUGUUGUGCCUGAAUGGAAACCUAGCAGCAUCUACUGUUCUUGCAUGGUCACACUUUUAUUCCUGAGAACUAUAUGGAUACAGACCCUUUGUCUUUGGGCACAGAAUGCUGCUGUGAAAUGUCUGACCUGAAACUGACUACCCUCCUGCAUGCCAGCAUCCUGGAGCACACUUUUGAGCUGGGCACAUGGGCAUAUCCAACACCCGGAUGACAGAGAUGCACAUGAAAGGAACCAGGAUCCUUUUAUGACAUUGAAGGAUCAGCUGCCAGUCCUCGCUGGACUACUGAACUCAGGACUCCUGAGAACCAAAGUCGUUUGUCUUACAUUGGUCAUUGUAUCCUGGUGGUUUAGCAGAGGCUGGUACCUUAAUAAUGCAUCAUCCUUAUCCUAUAAAAAAUUUCUAUAGGAACUGGGUAUAUUUCUGGAAAUUAAUAUUUGUUCCAUUGAUUUAUCUCUUUAUUCAUGGACAUGUGACAUAUUUUUUAACUUGUGAUAGCUUUAUUUUAUGAACAUUUAAAACAUUCA